CCUACGGGAGACAGCAGUGAGGAAUAUUGGUCAAUGGACGAGAGUCUGAACCAGCCAAGUAGCGUGAAGGAUGACUGCCCUAUGGGUUGUAAACUUCUUUUAUAUGGGAAUAAAAUGUUCCACGUGUGGGAUUUUGUAUGUACCAUUUGAAUAAGGAUCGGCUAACUCCGUGCCAGCAGCCGCGGUAAUACGGAGGAUCCGAGCGUUAUCCGGAUUUAUUGGGUUUAAAGGGAGCGUAGGUGGAUUGUUAAGUCAGUUGUGAAAGUUUGCGGCUCGACCGUAAAAUUGCAGUUGAAACUGGCAGUCUUGAGUACAGUAGAGGUGGGCGGAAUUCGUGGUGUAGCGGUGACAUGCUUAGAUAUCACGAAGAACUCCGAUUGCGAAGGCAGCUCACUGGACUGCAACUGACACUGAGGCUCGAAAGUGUGGGUAUCAAACAGGAUUAGAUACCCCAGUAGUC
RNAcentral lists this ribosomal RNA (460 nucleotides) under uncultured bacterium. RNAcentral's name for it is "partial 16S ribosomal RNA". It matches the Rfam family "Bacterial small subunit ribosomal RNA", at positions 338 to 795 of the family's 1533-position model. The record is from RNAcentral.